This 235-nucleotide ribosomal RNA is filed under the name uncultured bacterium. RNAcentral describes it as "partial 16S ribosomal RNA". It matches the Rfam family "Bacterial small subunit ribosomal RNA", at positions 15 to 239 of the family's 1533-position model. The record is from RNAcentral.
GAUCCUGGCUCAGGACGAACGCUGGCGGCGUGCCUAACACAUGCAAGUCGAGCGGGGGAUAUUGAGCAGCUUGCUGCUUGGUAUUUCUAGCGGCGGACGGGUGAGUAACGCGUGAGUAACCUGCCUUUAUCAGGGGGAUAACGCAUCGAAAGAUGUGCUAAUACCGCGUAAGACCACAGCUUCACAUGGAGCAGGGGUCAAAGGAGCAAUCCGGAUAAAGAUGGGCUCGCGUCCG